RNAcentral lists this long non-coding RNA (226 nucleotides) under Fukomys damarensis (Damara mole-rat). RNAcentral's name for it is "lncRNA (ENSFDAG00000024615.1)". Lineage: Eukaryota; Metazoa; Chordata; Mammalia; Rodentia; Bathyergidae. The record is from RNAcentral.
CAAAGAUUUUCCAGCCACAGUGAUUUGGGACACAAGGGACAGUCCUGCCGUGACAUAGCCAGCAUCUUAGGGAUGUGAAGUACCCGCCACACACCAGGAAGACACAACGGGGAAGAAAACAGCCAAAGUCCCUGAUCUCAGACACAUAUGAUCACAAGUACAUAUGCAAUUGGCCCAUUGUAUCUGCAGGCUCUUCGUCAGGGGAUGCAACCAAACUCAGGUUAAA